UGGGGCAUAGCCAAGUGGAAAGGCAACAGGUUCUGAUUCUGUGAAACGGUAGUUCGAAUCUAUCUGCCCCAGCCA
RNAcentral lists this transfer RNA (75 nucleotides) under Mollicutes bacterium. Its description in RNAcentral is "tRNA-Gln". It matches the Rfam family "tRNA". Rfam says of the family: Transfer RNA (tRNA) molecules are approximately 80 nucleotides in length. Lineage: Bacteria; Bacillati; Mycoplasmatota; Mollicutes. The record is from RNAcentral.